GCCGAAGUGGCGGAAUAGGCAGACGCGCGCGACUCAAAAUCGCGUGAGGCGAACCCUCGUGCCGGUUCAAGUCCGGCCUUCGGCACCA
This 88-nucleotide transfer RNA is filed under the name Sulfobacillus acidophilus. RNAcentral describes it as "tRNA-Leu". It matches the Rfam family "tRNA". Rfam says of the family: Transfer RNA (tRNA) molecules are approximately 80 nucleotides in length. Their secondary structure includes four short double-helical elements and three loops (D, anti-codon, and T loops). The record is from RNAcentral. Lineage: Bacteria; Bacillati; Bacillota; Clostridia; Eubacteriales; Clostridiales Family XVII. Incertae Sedis.